RNAcentral lists this ribosomal RNA (468 nucleotides) under uncultured bacterium. RNAcentral describes it as "partial 16S ribosomal RNA". It matches the Rfam family "Bacterial small subunit ribosomal RNA", at positions 28 to 507 of the family's 1533-position model. The record is from RNAcentral.
GACGAACGCUGGCGGCGUGCUUAACACAUGCAAGUCGAACGGAAAGGCCCUGCUUUUGUGGGGUGCUCGAGUGGCGAACGGGUGAGUAACACGUGAGUAACCUGCCCUUGACUUUGGGAUAACUUCAGGAAACUGGGGCUAAUACCGGAUAGGAGCUCCUGCUGCAUGGUGGGGGUUGGAAAGUUUCGGCGGUUGGGGAUGGACUCGCGGCUUAUCAGCUUGUUGGUGGGGUAGUGGCUUACCAAGGCUUUGACGGGUAGCCGGCCUGAGAGGGUGACCGGCCACAUUGGGACUGAGAUACGGCCCAGACUCCUACGGGAGGCAGCAGUGGGGAAUAUUGCACAAUGGGCGGAAGCCUGAUGCAGCAACGCCGCGUGCGGGAUGACGGCCUUCGGGUUGUAAACCGCUUUCGCAUGUGACGAAGCGUGAGUGACGGUAAUGGGUAAAGAAGCACCGGAUAACUACGUG